CCUACGGGUGGCAGCAGUGGGGAAUAUUGCACAAUGGGGGAAACCCUGAUGCAGCGACGCCGCGUGAGUGAAGAAGUAUCUCGGUACGUAAAGCUCUAUCAGCAGGAAAGAAAAUGACGGUCCCUGACUAAGAAGCCCCGGCUAACUACGUGACAGCAGCCGCGGGCAUACGUAGGGGGCAAGCGUUAUCCGGAUUUACUGGGUGUAAAGGGAGCGUAGACGGCGCUGCAAGUCCGGAGUGAAAGCCCAGGGCUUAACCAUGGUACUGCUCUGGAAACUGUAGAGCUUGAGUGCGGGAGGGGCAGGCGGAAUUCCUAGUGUAGCGGUGAAAUGCGUAGAUAUGAGGAGGAACACCGACGGCGAAGGCGGCCUACUGGACCGUAACUGACGUUGAGGCUCGAAAGCGUGGGGAGCAAACAGGAUUAGAUACCCGUGUAGUC
This 440-nucleotide ribosomal RNA is filed under the name uncultured bacterium. RNAcentral describes it as "partial 16S ribosomal RNA". It matches the Rfam family "Bacterial small subunit ribosomal RNA", at positions 338 to 795 of the family's 1533-position model. The record is from RNAcentral.